Molecule: ribosomal RNA, 198 nt
Filed under: uncultured bacterium
Lineage: Bacteria
Description: partial 16S ribosomal RNA
Rfam family: Bacterial small subunit ribosomal RNA
Source: RNAcentral
UACUCCUACGGGAGGCAGCAGUGGGGAAUUUUGGACAAUGGACGCAAGUCUGAUCCAGCCAUGCCGCGUGCGGGAAGAAGGCCUUCGGGUUGUAAACCGCUUUUGUCAGGGAAGAAAUCUUCUGGGUUAAUACCUCGGGAGGAUGACGGUACCUGAAGAAUAAGCACCGGCUAACUACGUGCCAGCAGCCGCGGUAAU